GGGGAUUUAGUUCAGUGGUAGAGCGUUUGCCUAGCAAGCGCAAGGCCCUGGGUUCGGUCCCCAGCUCCG
This 69-nucleotide transfer RNA is filed under the name Rattus norvegicus (Norway rat). It matches the Rfam family "tRNA". Rfam says of the family: Transfer RNA (tRNA) molecules are approximately 80 nucleotides in length. The record is from Rfam by way of RNAcentral. Lineage: Eukaryota; Metazoa; Chordata; Mammalia; Rodentia; Muridae.